UUUGGAAGCUUCUCGUCCCGACAGAGUAUUAGUUUGGAUUGACACAUUACAUACUUCAGGCCAGAGCAGGCGAGAAGUUGGGCCAAGAUCUUCACAUUACACCCUUUCAUCCCUAUAACCAGAUGAGAUGUGUAGCACUAGCCCCAUUUUCCAGUCCAUAUGAUGAGAGAGGGUUCAAGAGAAAUAUGAUCAAGCAAGUUGGAGAUGACUAAAUGAUGAAGUCAGCAUUUUUAACUCGCCUUAUAUGUUUUCUCAUGUAAAAAAAUGUGCAAUUAUUUGUCAUCAGUAAAAGGUUCUUGAUCCAUGCUAGAACACUGGUAGAAUAUAAAUCAUCUGAGCAUUUAAAGUUCCAAGCUAUGUGAUCAUAUUAACAUGGAUUUUAAUUUUAAUAA
Molecule: long non-coding RNA, 392 nt
Organism: Psammomys obesus (fat sand rat)
Lineage: Eukaryota; Metazoa; Chordata; Mammalia; Rodentia; Muridae
Exons: 3
Source: RefSeq, a predicted model, not a curated record